CCUUAAGCCUAGGAGAGAUAAAACUUAACUCAUAAGAAAUACAGUGCUUAACUAGAGCCUUCAUUUCCUUCAAUGAUUACAAUAUUCAGUCUUUCCAUAAAUGUAUGCUCUAGAUGAUCUGGUGCUCAUUAUUCCAUAAAUUAGUGGAACUGUAGGAUUGAUGUGCAUAGUGAAGGAACUUCACAUUCAGGAGUUCAGGGCCACAGCAGAUAAAUGUAUUUGAAAGUAAAGUUUAGGUAUCCAGUGGCAGCAGUAACAUGGAACGUACACGGAAUGUACAUGGAAUGAUUUCUGUAGUGAGUCUGCUUGGGAUGGAGUUAACUUUCACUGCAGCACCGUAUUUAAUGCUGUGCUUUGACUUACAAGUAAAACAUGGGUGUUGAUAUCACACCAGUGGUUUGACUAUUGCAUAGCAGUGCUGGCACAGCAUCAAGGCUGUCUCUCCCUCUCUCCUUUUGGUAUUAGACAGGAGCUGAGGUGGGGACAUCACCAGAAUACGUGACCAAAGCAUAUUCUGUCCAUAUGAUGUCAUGUUUAACAAUAAAAGCUGGACGAUGAAAAGGAAAAGAAUACUCAAAAUACAAAAGCAUUUGUCUUCUCAAGAAGGGCCUCUCUUCUCCUCCCCUCCUCUCCCAUCCCCUUUCCUCACCACUCCUUUUCUUUCCACAUAAGACAGCAGAGUGUUGGAGUGUAGCUGUCUAUCACUGUGAUACCACCACAAUUUCUUAGCCUUCUCCAGCAGUCACCUUUUCAUUGCAGUCAGAGUUCUCUGCAAAGAACAGCUGGAGCACUGCAAAAAAGUGCAUGGAGGGAAGUCUCCUGGUUUACAAAAUUAGAGAAGAAAAUAAUAGGAGAGAGGAGGAGAGAG
Meleagris gallopavo (turkey) is the source of this 868-nucleotide non-coding RNA. The record is from RefSeq and is a predicted model, not a curated record. NCBI's taxonomy places the organism in Eukaryota, Metazoa, Chordata, Aves, Galliformes, Phasianidae.